GCAAGCAUUUUUCUUGUAUAAAUUUUGUUUCGACAGAGAGAAUCUGAAUAUGAAAAUGGUCUUCAAAGAGACCCCACAGGGCUGAGAAAGAAAACAAAGAAACAAACAGACCCUCCUGCUAUGACUGUAGAUUCCUGGUCUCUUCCAAUCAUGUAAAUUUGGAAGCUCACCCAUGUUAGUAUGCUUACACAUUCUAAGACGAGAAAGAAAGAUACAAUUUUUCUGCUUAACACCAUUUCGCAUGGAACAUAAAAAUGAGUAAAGGGUAUAAAUAAAGGCAGGGGAGGCCAGAGGUUUAGAGAGAGAGAGAGAGGACUAAACUUUGCUAAUGGUCAAGUACGAGGGCAAGUGGUGGCGUAGGAUUCCCCGUAAAUCCUGGGUCAUGAUUUUUUUUCCUGCAAUAUCAUCAGGGGGACAAUUGUGAUAAAUCAUGAAGCUUUCAAUACUUUGAAAGCUAUUCUGAGGAUAUAGGAGAAUCAUGUCCUACACUGGAUUUUAUUGCUUUGCUUCCUCUUGAGCUAUGCCUACACAAGCAUUACGUGAGUUAUUUUAGUGCUCUGCAUUAUGUUUAAGGAAGCUAUUUUAUGGUUCUCCCAUUAAUUUUGGUUAUUUGUUUGUUUUGAUUCUUUCUUACAGAACUAGACCAGAAUUCUUGGUUCAGUUCUCCACCUUAACGACAGAAAAAAGGAUGGAUCAAAUUCUAUUGAGUCUGACUCAUAGUGAUAAUUUAUCAAAGAAUGACUCUGGUUAUCAAAUGAUUGAACAACCGGGAUCCAUUUACUUACGCUACUUAGUUGACUGCUAACUGACACUGCAAAAUUAUGUAAAGCUGCACUUGGCAAUUGUUUUGAAAUCGAAGAGUGGGGUCCCAUUGAAUUCUGCAUCAUGGCUAUACUUUGAAGUCAAAGGAAACCUCCUUAUGCAUACCAUUCUCAAUACAUGGCACACCUUCUUUCUCAUGGACAGCUUGAUGGGAGUUGUUAGCCAUUGAUCAAGCAUCACCACUUGCAUUGAUACGUACGCAGCCAACCAUUUAGAAGCUUUUUGAAGUUUUAUAGGUACCAAUCAAGGAAAGUGAACAUAUAGAACUAGCAAAGCAUUAUGAACUCUUUCUUGACAGCAGAAGUUGCCACAAUGAUAAGUACUUUCAGUUUGUGUUAGAGAGAAUCCCAACUGCAUUUUACUACUGGACUCCAGUAGUUUUGUAUUAGAAGUGGGGUUUCCAGUAUUAAAAAUCUGUGGAUAUGGUGUAUGUUCAAGAAAUGCGAGAUAAUAUUCAUUUAAGUGGGGGGGGGGGUCUUGUUUAUCCAUGCAGGGCUGCAAUUUUGUGAACAAAAAUUGCAUAUCUUAAACUGCAAUUUACAUUUUAUGGUAAUAAAUCGCAAUUAAUUAAGCUGCUUUUAUUGUCA
This is a long non-coding RNA of Macadamia integrifolia, 1409 nucleotides long. RefSeq lists it as uncharacterized. Lineage: Eukaryota; Viridiplantae; Streptophyta; Magnoliopsida; Proteales; Proteaceae. The record is from RefSeq and is a predicted model, not a curated record. The transcript is spliced from 4 exons.